Molecule: ribosomal RNA, 432 nt
Filed under: uncultured bacterium
Lineage: Bacteria
Description: partial 16S ribosomal RNA
Rfam family: Bacterial small subunit ribosomal RNA
Source: RNAcentral
ACGAACGCUGGCGGCAUGCCUAACACAUGCAAGUCGAACGAGACCUUCGGGUCUAGUGGCGCACGGGUGCGUAACGCGUGGGAACCUGCCUUUAGGUUCGGAAUAACUCAGAGAAAUUUGAGCUAAUACCGGAUGAUGUCUUCGGACCAAAGAUUUAUCGCCUUUAGAUGGGCCCGCGUUGGAUUAGCUAGUUGGUGGGGUAAAGGCCUACCAAGGCGACGAUCCAUAGCUGGUCUGAGAGGAUGAUCAGCCACACUGGGACUGAGACACGGCCCAGACUCCUACGGGAGGCAGCAGUGGGGAAUAUUGGACAAUGGGAGAAAGCCUGAUCCAGCAAUGCCGCGUGAGUGAUGAAGGCCUUAGGGUUGUAAAGCUCUUUUACCCGAGAUGAUAAUGACAGUAUCGGGAGAAUAAGCUCCGGCUAACUCCGUG